UUUCCGCCGUGUGAGGUGCCGUCGUGCCGAACUCUACCGUCUGCCGAGCGUCCGGGGCACGCCGAACUGUGUCUGUUUGUAUGAUUUUUGUAAUAAUAUUUUAAUAUUAUUGUAGUCGGCGUUUUUUGUUUUUUUUACCGUCCUGAGUGUUGUAAUAUCAUAUUCUGACCCGUUGGUUCUAGAACCGGAAUCAAGAUGUAUACGGAAGAUCAAGAGCGUGUGGGAGAUAUGAUUAAGAAGUUUGAAAAAGAUAAAGAAGAUAGAGAAAAAGAAAGAAAAAAAGAUAGAGAAAGGAGGAAAAGUCGUAGUAGAUCACAUACACGAGAUCGUCGUAGCAGAUCUAGAGAUCGCCAUCGUGAUAAACGUGAUAAAGAAAAAGAAAGAGAUAAAUAUAAAGAUCAUGAUUCAGAUAAAGUACGAGAAAAACAUACAAAAAGAGAUUCUCGUUCAAAGUCAAAAGGAAAACUUGUGAGUAAUGGACAUACUUCACCGACUAAAAAAGAAAAAAGUCGUAGUUGUUCACCUAAAAAUGAUAUUACCUCAACUGAGGAAAAAACUACUAAUCCAAAGACUUCAGUUUCGCCUGCUAAAGACAAAGUUGUAGAAACAAAUAAUAAACCUAAACCUAAAGAACGAUCAUUAUCUAGAGAUUCUACUAAACGCAGGGAGAAAAAACGGCAUCAUUCUUCUUCAUCAAGUCGUAGUUCAUCAUCGUCUAAUUCUUCUUUAAGCCCUGACCGUAAAAAAGAUUUUGAAAUUCAGAAAAAAGAAAACAGUAUCCAAAAAAAAAGACAAUACCGAACAAAUAAAGAUGAAUCGUCUGGAAGUGAAUCGGACAAAGAUAAAUCUACAGAUAGAAGAGAUCGACGUGAUCGUUCAUCUUCUCGAUCGAGGCGUCCAUCUAGACAUGCUUUUAAUCGUGGCCGAUAUCGUGAAAAAAGUCGUGAUCGUUAUUAUAGAGAUAGAGAAAGGGAAAGGGCAAGAGAAAGAGAACGUAAUCGCCGUGAUCGUGAACGGGAACGUAGAGAUAGAGAAAGAGCAAUUCGUGAAAGGGAUCGUGAACGUGAUAGACGUAGGCAAAGAGAAAGAGAAGAAAAAUCAUCACCUCGAAGAAGGAAAUCCAGAAGUCCUGAAAGAAAAUCUAGAUCAGGCAGCAGACAUACAAGAUCUCGUUCAAAAUCUAAAAGGAGACCAAGUGGAAAAUCACGUAGCAGGGAACGUACUGUUAAGGAUUCUAGUAUUAUUUCUCCCACAAAAAAAGAUAACACUUCAAAAUCAAAGGCUUCUCAAGAAAGUUUAUCUAGAACUCCUUCACCUUUUAAGAAAGUUGAAGACAAAGCAGAACGUAAACCAGUAAAAGAUAGAUUGGGUGUUAGAGAUGAACAACAUUCUAAAUCUUCUCAGCCACAAAGAUCAAAAGGACAAUCUCCUUCAUCGGAAAAGAAAAAUAACACUGAUAAAAAAAAUUCAUCUAGUUCUAGACGAAGGUCAUCAACAUCUCCUGCUAUUAAAAAGAAAGAAGAAGAUAAAACAGAAAAAGUAAAAAAACCUAUGAAGAAAUCUGACACCUCUGAUGCCGAAAACACCAAAAUUAAAAAAAAGGAAGAAUCAAGUUCAUCAGAUGAAUCAUUAAAAAAGUCUAAAAAGAAAGUUAAAAGAGAUUCUAGUUCAGAUGAUGAUAAAGUAAAGGCUAAAAAACGAAAACUCAAGGAUUCUACUUCAUCUGAAGAUGAUGAUUCUAAGAAAAAAAAGAAACGCAAAAAGAGAUCGUCCAGUUCAAGCUCAGAUGAAAGUGACAGAGAUGACAAAAAAAAGAAAAAGGACAAGAAACAUAAAAAACAUAAGAAGCAUAAGAAACACAAAAAACAUAAGAAACGCAAGACUGAAGAAAGUGGUUCUGAUGCCAAAUCUGGAGAUGAGUCGGAACAACGUUUAAGGGAGAAGGCACUGCGUACCAUGAAAAAGAAAAAUCAGGCUAAACAUGACGGAACCCCUAACAGUAAUAGCAGUGAUUAACAAAAGAGCAACGAGAAUUUGACAGGUUAGCCCUACUGUCCAGUCAACAGGCUGACUUGUUGGCAGAGUUAUACUUGCAUCAUUUUCAUAGCGCUGUCUGAUCGUUUUUGAAGCCCCGCAAUUGUUUUCUUUCAAUCAACAUUUUUAAUGAGCAACUACAAUACAUCUAUCAACAUUCAUUCUGCAUUUCUCCUAUCAACAUAUCUGCAAUCAACAUUACUUCUAUCAACACACCCACAAUCAACAUAUCUGCUUUCAACAUAACUUCUGUCAACACAUCCACGUUCAACAUUCCUUCUAUCAACACCAAAUCUUCACUGCAAUCAACAUUUCUCUCAUCAUCAAAUAUAUUUCAGAUCAUUUGAGUGUUCUGUGUUUUCAAACCAUUGAAAACUAUCGCUUCAUCCACUAAUUAUUCAUAUCCGUAUGACUAGUAUGAUCUAGAAUAAGAUGACAUGUGAAUUGUUAAUAUCUUGACCAAUGAGAGUUGCGUUAUGGAUAAAUACAAUAUCUACGACUGCUGUUUGAAAAUGUACCUAGACCAAUUGAAAAUCUACAGUUGAUCUAAAAAGUUUUUGGCUUAUGUCAAAUUAUUCAAUUAAUAUAAUACAAUAUAAUCUUAUUUUGUUUAAAAUAUUUUGUUAUGAGAAAAACUAUUUUAAAUUUAAUUGUUUUGUUUCAGGGCUUAUAGUUAAGAAGAAUUUGAAGUAUUAGUAAUAAUUCUGAAGAAUGGUUCUUAGAAGAUUUCUUUAAUUUUAAUAAUUUUUUUUAAUAAUUUUUCAAUAAUAAACAAUUUAUAACAUUAACGCAAUUAUACACAUCUUACAUAAAUAUAUUAUAUUCAAUUUUUAAAAAUGUAUCAUAAAUUAAAAUACAUUGUUUAAUUUAAUAUUUCACGUAAGCAAUACAACAUAAGUUACAUUAAUUAGUAAUAUGUUAUUAUUAGCUAUUACAAUUAGAUAAAAAAUAAAUAUGACAUAUAUUUUUAC
RNAcentral lists this unclassified non-coding RNA (3005 nucleotides) under Acyrthosiphon pisum (pea aphid). RNAcentral's name for it is "serine/arginine repetitive matrix 1, transcript variant X5". The record is from RNAcentral. Lineage: Eukaryota; Metazoa; Arthropoda; Insecta; Hemiptera; Aphididae.